UUUAUGGAGAGUUUGAUCCUGGCUCAGGAUGAACGCUGGCGGCGUGCCUAAUACAUGCAAGUCGAGCGAACGGACGAGAAGCUUGCUUCUCUGAUGUUAGCGGCGGACGGGUGAGUAACACGUGGAUAACCUACCUAUAAGACUGGGAUAACUUCGGGAAACCGGAGCUAAUACCGGAUAAUAUUUUGGACCGCAUGGUUCAAAAGUGAAAGACGGUCUUGCUGUCACUUAUAGAUGGAUCCGCGCUGCAUUAGCUAGUUGGUAAGGUAAUGGCUUACCAAGGCAACGAUGCAUAGCCGACCUGAGAGGGUGAUCGGCCACACUGGAACUGAGACACGGUCCAGACUCCUACGGGAGGCAGCAGUAGGGAAUCUUCCGCAAUGGGCGAAAGCCUGACGGAGCAACGCCGCGUGAGUGAUGAAGGUCUUCGGAUCGUAAAACUCUGUUAUUAGGGAAGAACAUAUGUGUAAGUAACUGUGCACAUCUUGACGGUACCUAAUCAGAAAGCCACGGCUAACUACGUGCCAGCAGCCGCGGUAAUACGUAGGUGGCAAGCGUUAUCCGGAAUUAUUGGGCGUAAAGCGCGCGUAGGCGGUUUUUUAAGUCUGAUGUGAAAG
RNAcentral lists this ribosomal RNA (617 nucleotides) under Staphylococcus aureus. RNAcentral's name for it is "bacterial SSU rRNA". It matches the Rfam family "Bacterial small subunit ribosomal RNA", at positions 1 to 600 of the family's 1533-position model. The record is from RNAcentral. Lineage: Bacteria; Bacillati; Bacillota; Bacilli; Caryophanales; Staphylococcaceae.